UGAAAAAGAACCUGAAACCGUGUACGUACAAGCAGUGGGAGCACCCUUCGGGGUGUGACUGCGUACCUUUUGUAUAAUGGGUCAGCGACUUAUAUUCUGUAGCAAGGUUAACCGUAUAGGGGAGCCGGAGGGAAACCGAGUCUUAACCGGGCGUUAAGUUGCAGGGUAUAGACCCGAAACCCGGUGAUCUAGCCAUGGGCAGGUUGAAGGUUGGGUAACACUAACUGGAGGACCGAACCGACUAAUGUUGAAAAA
RNAcentral lists this ribosomal RNA (255 nucleotides) under Salmonella enterica. Its description in RNAcentral is "partial 23S ribosomal RNA". It matches the Rfam family "Bacterial large subunit ribosomal RNA", at positions 539 to 796 of the family's 2925-position model. The record is from RNAcentral. RNAcentral also lists the same sequence under 2 other names. Lineage: Bacteria; Pseudomonadati; Pseudomonadota; Gammaproteobacteria; Enterobacterales; Enterobacteriaceae.